This 443-nucleotide ribosomal RNA is filed under the name uncultured bacterium. RNAcentral's name for it is "partial 16S ribosomal RNA". It matches the Rfam family "Bacterial small subunit ribosomal RNA", at positions 338 to 795 of the family's 1533-position model. The record is from RNAcentral.
CCUACGGGCGGCUGCAGUGGGGAAUAUUGGGCAAUGGGCGCAAGCCUGACCCAGCAACGCCGCGUGAAGGAAGAAGGCUUUCGGGUUGUAAACUUCUUUUCUGAGGGACGAAGAAAGUUACGGUACCUCAAGAAUAAGCCACGGCUAACUACGUGCAAGCAGCCGCGGGAAUACGGAGGUGGCAAGCGUUAUCCGGAUUUAUUGGGUGUAAAGGGGGUGUAGGCGGGAAAGCAAGUCAGAUGUGAAAACUCAGGGCUCAACCCUGAGACUGCAUUUGAAACUGUUUUUCUUGAGUGCUGGAGAGGCGAUCGGAAUUCCGGGUGUAGCGGUGAAAUGCGUAGAUAUACGGAGGAACACCAGUGGCGAAGGCAGAUUGCUGGACAGUAACUGACGCUGAGGCGCGAAAGCGUGGGGAGCAAACAGGAUUAGAUACCCCGGUAGUC